GAGUUUGAUCAUGGCUCAGAUUGAACGCUGGCGGCAGGCCUAACACAUGCAAGUCGAGCGGUAGAGAGAAGCUUGCUUCUCUUGAGAGCGGCGGACGGGUGAGUAAUGCCUAGGAAUCUGCCUGGUAGUGGGGGAUAACGCUCGGAAACGGACGCUAAUACCGCAUACGUCCUACGGGAGAAAGCAGGGGACCUUCGGGCCUUGCGCUAUCAGAUGAGCCUAGGUCGGAUUAGCUAGUUGGUGAGGUAAUGGCUCACCAAGGCGACGAUCCGUAACUGGUCUGAGAGGAUGAUCAGUCACACUGGAACUGAGACACGGUCCAGACUCCUACGGGAGGCAGCAGUGGGGAAUAUUGGACAAUGGGCGAAAGCCUGAUCCAGCCAUGCCGCGUGUGUGAAGAAGGUCUUCGGAUUGUAAAGCACUUUAAGUUGGGAGGAAGGGCAGUAACCUAAUACGUUGCGGUCUUGACGUUACCGACAGAAUAAGCACCGGCUAACUCUGUGCCAGCAGCCGCGGUAAUACAGAGGGUGCAAGCGUUAAUCGGAAUUACUGGGCGUAAAGCGCGCGUAGGUGGUUUGUUAAGUUGGAUGUGAAAUCCCCGGGCUCAACCUGGGAACUGCAUUCAAAACUGACAAGCUAGAGUAUGGUAGAGGGUGGUGGAAUUUCCUGUGUAGCGGUGAAAUGCGUAGAUAUAGGAAGGAACACCAGUGGCGAAGGCGACCACCUGGACUGAUACUGACACUGAGGUGCGAAAGCGUGGGGAGCAAACAGGAUUAGAUACCCUGGUAGUCCACGCCGUAAACGAUGUCAACUAGCCGUUGGGAGCCUUGAGCUCUUAGUGGCGCAGCUAACGCAUU
RNAcentral lists this ribosomal RNA (857 nucleotides) under rhizosphere soil bacterium RSI-37. Its description in RNAcentral is "bacterial SSU rRNA". It matches the Rfam family "Bacterial small subunit ribosomal RNA", at positions 9 to 861 of the family's 1533-position model. The record is from RNAcentral.